RNAcentral lists this ribosomal RNA (407 nucleotides) under uncultured bacterium. Its description in RNAcentral is "bacterial SSU rRNA". It matches the Rfam family "Bacterial small subunit ribosomal RNA", at positions 354 to 776 of the family's 1533-position model. The record is from RNAcentral.
GUAAAGAAUCUUCCGCAAUGGGCGAAAGCCUGACGGAGCAACACUGCGUGGUGGAUGACGGCCUUCGGGUUGUAAACACCUUUUCUGGGGGAAGAAGUUCUGACGGUACCCCAGGAAUAAGCGACGGCUAAUUACGUGCCAGCAGCCGCGGUAAUACGUAAGUCGCAAGCGUUAUCCGGAAUCAUUGGGCGUAAAGCGUCCGUAGGCGGUCAUAUCAGUCUGUGGUUAAAGCCCAGGGCUCAACCCUGGAAUCGUCACGGAAACUGUAUGACUUGAGGUGUGCAGGGGCAGAUGGAAUUCCAGAAGUAGGGGUAAAAUCCGUAGAUCUCUGGAGGAACACCAAACGCGAAGGCAUUCUGCUGGGCACAACCUGACGCUGAGGGACGAAAGCGUGGGUAGCAAACGGG